RNAcentral lists this ribosomal RNA (497 nucleotides) under uncultured bacterium. RNAcentral's name for it is "partial 16S ribosomal RNA". It matches the Rfam family "Bacterial small subunit ribosomal RNA", at positions 28 to 507 of the family's 1533-position model. The record is from RNAcentral.
GACGAACGCUGGCGGCGUGCCUAAUACAUGCAAGUUGAGCGAUGAAGAUUGGUGCUUGCACCAAUUUGAAGAGCAGCGAACGGGUGAGUAACGCGUGGGGAAUCUGCCUUUGAGCGGGGGACAACAUUUGGAAACGAACGCUAAUACCGCAUAACAACUUUAAACAUAAGUUUUAAGUUUGAAAGAUGCAAUUGCAUCACUCAAAGAUGAUCCCGCGUUGUAUUAGCUAGUUGGUGAGGUAAAGGCUCACCAAGGCGAUGAUACAUAGCCGACCUGAGAGGGUGAUCGGCCACAUUGGGACUGAGACACGGCCCAAACUCCUACGGGAGGCAGCAGUAGGGAAUCUUCGGCAAUGGACGAAAGUCUGACCGAGCAACGCCGCGUGAGUGAAGAAGGUUUUCGGAUCGUAAAACUCUGUUGGUAGAGAAGAACGUUGGUGAGAGUGGAAAGCUCAUCAAGUGACGGUAACUACCCAGAAAGGGACGGCUAACUACGUG